GACUGGAUGGUGGAAUGGAUAACACGUCUACUCAGAUUGAGUGGUAGCUCAGGGAUUAUCCAGUAGAAGAUGCCUGUUCGAAUCAGGCUCGAGUCG
Molecule: non-coding RNA, 96 nt
Organism: Crucibulum laeve
Lineage: Eukaryota; Fungi; Basidiomycota; Agaricomycetes; Agaricales; Nidulariaceae
Source: the annotation of a GenBank genome assembly